Molecule: non-coding RNA, 896 nt
Organism: Equus caballus (horse)
Lineage: Eukaryota; Metazoa; Chordata; Mammalia; Perissodactyla; Equidae
Source: RefSeq, a predicted model, not a curated record
CAGUCCUGUGCAGGAUGAGCCAUUCUCACAAGAGCCCUAGGAAGCGUGUUGCUGAAGCUGAUGCCACAAGGAAAAGUAGUGUGCAUAAGGACAGAGAGCUGGCAGGUGGGGAACUGUGGAUCCUGAGCAGGUACAUUCCCGCAUCCCAGAGGCUGACCUGCACAGACUCACCACCAGGCACCCUCUCCACCCGUCUCCCUCCCCUGCUUCCUGCCGGGUUCAGCCACUUGGUGGCAAAGCAGGAGACAUGAAGGUGGAAGACGAGAGAGGUCAUCUCUGGGCGUCUCCUGGUCCACAGUUCCACCCCUCGCCAGGCUUUUGGACUAGUAUCUUUCCACUCAGGUUUAACGGGUUGGUGAUGGUGGCUCACUUUUGCUAGCCUUUGUGUACUUCACCACCCCUUGUUGGCACGGUCGUCCUGCGCACACACUGGGCAAUAGUCCUUUCACUAAAUUCUCUUGAGUAAAACCCUUUGCAGUGUGUCAUUGCCUCUUUUUGCUAUGACCAACAGCUCCUAAACUAUUUCGAAAGCAAGAGAGCACAACUAUCGAUAAUAAUAAAGCCCUUCAAAAACUUUCAUAUGAAGAUGCUCAUUGCAGCAUCAUAUUCAAUAGCAAAUAAAUUACAAACAACUUGUGUAACCAUAAAGAAGAUGAUUAAUAAAUGAUGUUACAUCAACAUGACAAAAUAUUACUCCUCUCUACAGUGAGACUUAUGAAGACCGAAGAAAACAUGGAAAUAGAAAUAAAGUGUUUGAGGUGGUAUGUAUAUACUCUAGAAUUGCAACUAUGUAAAAGUAGGACAGUCUCUGGAUAAGAACUAAAAGGUAAUAUGCAAAUAUGAAGAUAAUGUUGUUAGGAUAGUGGAAUCUACUGAUUAUUUUUUAAUUUUGGAAG